Non-coding RNA from Paramuricea clavata, 71 nucleotides. The record is from the annotation of a GenBank genome assembly. NCBI's taxonomy places the organism in Eukaryota, Metazoa, Cnidaria, Anthozoa, Malacalcyonacea, Plexauridae.
AGUCGUUAACUCAGUUGGUUAGAGCACUGCAUCGGAAUCGCAGGGCCGCAGGUUCGAUUCCUGCUAGACUA